This 403-nucleotide ribosomal RNA is filed under the name bacterium. Its description in RNAcentral is "partial 16S ribosomal RNA". It matches the Rfam family "Bacterial small subunit ribosomal RNA", at positions 355 to 776 of the family's 1533-position model. The record is from RNAcentral.
UGGGGAAUAUUGCACAAUGGGGGAAACCCUGAUGCAGCGACGCCGCGUGAACGAAGAAGGUAUUCGUAUCGUAAAGUUCUGUCCUAUGGGAAGAUAAUGACAGUACCAUAGAAGAAAGCUCCGGCUAAAUACGUGCCAGCAGCCGCGGUAAUACGUAUGGAGCGAGCGUUGUCCGGAAUUAUUGGGCGUAAAGGGUACGCAGGCGGUUUAAUGAGUCGAAUGUUAAAGAUCGGGGCUCAACCCCGCAAAGCAUUGGAAACUGAUAAACUUGAGUAGUGGAGAGGAAAGUGGAAUUCCUAGUGUAGUGGUGAAAUACGUAGAUAUUAGGAGGAAUACCAGUAGCGAAGGCGACUUUCUGGACACAAACUGACGCUGAGGUACGAAAGCGUGGGGAGCAAACAGG